This 253-nucleotide ribosomal RNA is filed under the name uncultured bacterium. RNAcentral describes it as "partial 16S ribosomal RNA". It matches the Rfam family "Bacterial small subunit ribosomal RNA", at positions 524 to 776 of the family's 1533-position model. The record is from RNAcentral.
CACGUAGGGCGCAAGCGUUGUCCGGAAUUAUUGGGCGUAAAGAGCUCGUAGGCGGUCUGUUGCGUCCGCUGUGAAAACCCGGGGCUUAACCCCUGGCUUGCAGUGGAUACGGACAGACUAGAGGUAGGUAGGGGAGAAUGGAAUUCCCGGUGUAGCGGUGAAAUGCGCAGAUAUCAGGUGGAACACCAGUGGCGAAGGCGGCUUUCUGGACGGUAACUGACGCUGAGACGCGAAAGCGUGGGGAGCAAACAGG